CCUUGAAGUGCUGCAUUUGUACCUAUGAAGCUCCUAUGAUCACAGUGUAGGCAGGGCAUGAUUAAAGAAGAAGAGCCCACCUUUCUGCUGCCCAGCCAAGUUUCAUGAACUUCUUGAGAAGAAAAAAUAAAAGAAGAAAAAAAGGUUGUACAGGGGAGACUUUACAGACAGGAGCAAGCUGGAUACAAGGCCCUGUCUAUGAGUGGGGAUUAGUUCUGCUUCUUGAAAGUUUACUUGGGCUUGUGUUGUUUCAUCUCUGUCUUCUCUGCUGAGACUGCAGUUGUUCAGGCAUGCUCAGGGAUGCUUGCGGUAAGCAGCUCUUCCUUUAUUUUGAGGUUUGGUUUGCACAACAGUACAAAUGGGGACAGUUUCCCCCUUCUCGGAUGUGAUGCUUAUUGCAUUCACUUCCAUUAACAAGCUGUUGGAAGCAAGUUAAUAUCACAUUAAUUUACUCUUACAUCUGAUAUUUCCUGCCUGUUAUAAGGGCUGCUUAGAAGAGAUCAUGUCCUAGAUAGUAUCUCAUAAAAGACCUGAAGUCCCCUCCCCCCAAAAGUGGAAUUAUAAUUAUUAAUUCAAAAGAAUUAUUUAUAUCACAAUGAAAUAUUAGCAACAAAUAAAUAAACAAGAUGUUGGCAUACAUCUUAUUGACUUUUCAUAACUGCUUUGGGCCUGAUUUUUUGAGGUUAACCAGGUAACUUGUUUUGAGAUGUACUUGAUUUUCUAGCCUUACCAUCUCAUACGUCUUCUGCAGGUGAGCCCCACUUACAAGCAACUUCUACAGUAGCCAGUCUCAUGUCACCAACUGACAGCCAGCUACUCUAACAUCUCUGUGGGAGGCUUGUGAUAAAGCCAUCUGGACUCUGGUAAUACAGGACACUGGCAGCUGUAGCAGAAAACUUCAGGUUCUCUGAUGACUGUGGGUUUAGUGCCAGUGUAAAAUCAAAGUGGAAAUGGCCUAAACCAGAAGUACUGAAAGAAAGAUUAGUCACUGACAUAUGAGGGAGAAAAUACAACACCCUGUGAGAGCUGAUCCUUGUAGUGUUGCCCAGGCACCCAGUACUGCACUGUGUGGCCAAAAAUUACCUGUGAGCAAGACACAGGCUAUUGCUUGCAGACUUCAGGGCCAAGAAAAUCCUCUCAUAUCUCGGUGUGUGCUGGCUGUAGUUCCAGGCUCUGUCAGUGCCGUAGGAACAAGCUGUCUGGUUUCCCUCUCCGGAAAGUUUGCAGCUGCUAGGAAGUACCCCCAGGAAGCACUGGCAUUCCCAAGGCACUGAGCACUGGUGACAAACUCAUAGAUUUGUGGGGGUUUGAGGUUGAUGUCCCUAUCUAGGUUUAAUGGCAUCAUUCCACUCCACUUAACUGCUUCCAUUUUACUAAUUUUUCCAAAUUUUCAGUCUGCAAAUCAAAGAUUCUCAUUGCAGCACAACACAGAAUUUUUUAAGUAAUACAUUAUGAUUUUUAUUUUCCUGAGUAUAUGCAAAACAGUAUGGUUGUAGUAUAUAGGAACAAUACCUAUCUUAAAGGAACUGUUGUCUAGAUAUAUUAUCUUUUAGAGUAGUUGGUAGUUAAAAGCUGUCCUUAUUGCACCGAGGAAGUAAAAUCCACACUUGUUAGGCUCUUAUUUCAUCCUCUUUCCUAGAGCCUCACCUUUUUGGCCCUGCUAACUUCCAUGUCCAUAAUGAACUCCAUUUAGCUUCCCUGCAGCAGGACCUUGUCUUUGUAAAUCACUGACCCAGCGGCAUGAAGCUGCAUAGGAGAGCAGGUUAUAUUUUUUUCUAGAUUUUCUCUACUUCCUUCAGCACUUGUAGCUUCUAAGAAACUGCAGAACAAGCAAGUAUAAAAGAUUAGGAAGAUGGCCUGAAAAACUAAUGUUUAAAAGAGGUCUCAUUGUACUCAGUUCUCCACUAGCUGCCAACUAUAGACUGAUGGCUGAAAUCUUAGAAGGAGUUAAUGAGAUUAGGUCUUUAGUGACUGAUUGCUUAAUGCUGUCUUCUCAUUCAGUGGCGUAAUUUUUUUUUUCUUCUUUUCAGUAACUAUAAAUAAACUUCUCAUGGAGAUCAGCUGGGACCUCAUAGCAGAAAUCUUAUUUAAAACAACUGGAAAUUACUUCGCCUGGGCUUAAGCCACAGCGUAACAGAUACCUUCUCCUCCAGCCCUGCUUUUCUGUUCUGGAAAUGUACAGGAGGGAAGGGCAACUGUCUCAUCCCCAGUUUUGCCCAGUUGAAGAUAUGCAUGCAGGUCUGUGCCUGUAGCUGUUACUUCAGAAAAGCAGAAAAGAUUCUUCUCACAAGAUAUCAUAACAGGGAAACGUCCUUCUGGAACUUGACUCAGGCCAACUAUGUCUUCUCCCUGCCUGGAGAAAACCUUUGUCCUCCAGGCUGAAGACAGGCACUUGAAAGUAAACCUACCUGGUCUGUCCCUAUGAACCAGCAGUGUUGAAGGUUAAUUAGAAGUGCUGAAGGAGAAAAUCACUUUUUCCAUGUGUGCACCACUUGAGAACCACAGGAUCGGGACUAUUUAUUUGGAUCGCUUUAUUCUUUGUUGUCAUCCAAUGGGACAGGCUGAGUCCCAUUUCUCUUCCACGUGAAGAUUUCAGUUUCCUUGGACUACCAUAAAUCCUAAGCAGUGAUCCUGGUUUUUUUUCCUGACAGCAACUCCCAUUGGAGUUUACUUUGGACUUCCUGAAGAGGUGGUCAGAGAGACUAUUCUCAUGGGCUCCAAAAUCCUCCUCUGCUUAGAAUGAUGGGGGGGAGCAUUAGCACAGGCUGGCAUACAGCACCACCUGGGAGAUCUUAUGUUACUCAUUGUGCUCCCCUUCUCUCAGCAGGGCAUGCCCUCGGUGCAGAUAAGGAUGUAUUAAGUGACUGAAAGACAUCAGUUGUUCCCCAAAAGGUGUCAGUUCAGUGUUGCUGUAGAUGAGAGAACUGUUCCAUUUCUGUCCUUAAUCUGAAAUAAUUUUCAGAUUGCUUGCUGAUGGUUGUUCUUUGCUGAAUGGGACCUCUGCAUAACACUAGAAGGAAUAUUCUGUUUAACGUUCUGUUUCCCAACCUUCUGUCUUUCCUUCACCCAUUAUGACUGCCAGCACAUUUGUGAGUUUUUCAUUUGAAUGAAAUUUUGCUCUAGCUGUGGGCAGAACAUAGAAAAAAAAUCAAUAGCUAUUAAGAUAUGUGAUACUGCAGGAUAUGGGAUCCUACUGGUAGAAAAUAUGAGGACCAUUUAUUUAUUCACAUACCCGAGUGCCUGCAAUCAUAAUCUGACCUCACUGCCCAGGUCCUGAUCUUCCCCCAGGUUUUCAGUGGGGUUUUUUGUUGCCAAAUGCCGAGCAGAGAAUAUUCUGCCCAUUGCAUUCUGCUGUGUUCUGUGCUAGUUUCUUGUGAAAGUGCCUUCAGGUGCUUUCCCAGAGCUCACAUUUAUUUGUUCAAGAACAAGUUAAGAAAAAAGAGUGACUGGAGGUUUUAAAACCCAUUUUCUUUUUAUCUACUGUUCUGUUAAAGCUUUCCUUCUAAGCAGCUUACAAUAAUAUAAACAACCUGCAGAAAAAACUCCCUGUCAAUCUACUGCUAUAAAUUCCUAGAGGUCCAGGGGCUUCAGGAGCUGGAUAUUGCACCUACAGGCCCUGGAGUUAGAGAUAACUAUCAGAUAAUUCACUCCUCUAAAAAAUACUCCCUUAUAUUCAGAGUGAGUGGAGAGCAGGAAGGGGGAAAAGAAGGUGGGAGGAGGUGUGCUGAGAGCAGAGACAGGAGUGGGGUACCUGGUGUGUGGGAUGAGGAUGGAGACCAUGGGACACCAGUGUGGCAGCUGAGCAAGUGCUCACCUCUCCCUGGUGCCCCAGGCUGUGUGCUUUACUGAGCUCCUCAGCUGCACACCUCCUUCCUCAGGGUAAAACACACCUUUUUUUUUCAGCUUGUGUGGGUGCAAACUAGGAUCCCAGCCCCUGGGGCUGCUUUGGCACAGAGAGCAGCCAUGUCGGCAGCACACUGUGCUGCUUCGCCUUUUGGAGGUGCUCAGGAAUAACGAACAAAAUCUAAUUAAGAAAAGUGAAAUACAGUAUGUUAAGUCAGCUGCAUCGGGGUGUGAAAUGGAGCCAUUAUAAAACAAAACACUGUAAAGCAGCAACUCAGAAACUCCACAGCCUUACGGGGAUGCUGACUGACUUCCCUGGAAUCACAGAGGGAACGCACCGGUGAGACCUAAUAAUGUGUUGGACUGUCACUGGCCAUUGCAGGGCUCUGCUGGUCAGCACGGCUCCUACUCAAAAUGGGAAGCAGGAGAGGGGAGCAUGUAAUGGGCAUUAGGGCAGCACACCAGCCUGGCCACAUUGGGAGGGGAGGAACAGGAAAGGGGGUGAUGAGACAGCACAAGUGCAAUAGAAAGAGGAGGGAAGGGAAAAAAGCUGGGCAGUGAGGGGUGAACAUGAAGGGCAGGUAUGGAAUAAGGCUGAGCCUUUCUCACCUGAAGAUGAAAAACUCUGCAGGUAUCAGAGUACGUGUUUACCAUCCGAAAGCUGAGCCUGCCCUUGCCCAUUGGCUGUGAGAGCUGCUCUGCUCAGGUGGCAGAGGACAAACCAACAAAAACAACAAACCACCACCAAAACAACGCUGCCCCUUCCCCCCCUUUUUAAGAUUCUGGUGUUCUGAGAUCAACAAGUAGAACUUUAAAAUAUGGAAGUUAUAUUUGUUCUUCAUGAUGCUACAUUUUAUGAAAGGAUAGAAUUAAUUCUACUAUUUGAAUUGAAUUUUAAAAGAAUUGGAAAAAAUUAUUUAAUCUUGCUGGAAAAACAUCUUUUGAAACAGGAAGGAAUAGUUUCAAUAUCCUUAAAAUAUUUUUAAUUGUAAUUGUUUGCAGUUGCCUCCCUCUAAAAGUAAUAGAAAGAGCAUCUUGAAUGCAUUACAGUAAGUUCAGCACAAGUGAAUCUGCUUUCAAAUAUGCUAGAAAGGAUAUUCACAGUAAUAGGAUUAGUACAGAAAACAUGUUGUCUUUCUAUUUAAAAUCCUAAGGUUAAUACAUCUUGGUUCCACCUCUCCAAAAAAUUUUAUAACUGCUUUUGCCAGUCAUUACUUAAUGAUGUUUCACUGUUAAAUGUUCACAAGAAAUAUCUAACACCUGCUGGGAAAAUUAUCUGUAAAGGUUAUCUCAGUAAGGCUUGGAUGUAAAAUGUCAAAGGACAACUUCAUUUCUUUCCCCUUCUUCACCCUCCCACCCCUACUACAGGCAGGAAAACUGGGCGAACGUUUGCAAAGCUGUCAGAGAGGCAGGAGCCUGCUUCCUUCCAGCAUCUCUCUGUUCUCAAGAGGGCCUUGGGAUGUACUUUAUUUAAGCUAACAGGUUGUCCGAAGGCAGAAAACUGUAACAGAGAAAAUUAAUAAUUUACUAAAGCUUUGCUGGAGAACAGCAGACCUCAACCUCUGCCAUUGUCACCCAAAGGAGAAGUGAACAGUGAGGCCAAGGGGCACCUGCUGCCUGUGUGGAGGGGACCCUGCUGCCUCAGGGGCACAGGCACACAGAAGAAUUACCCCUGGCUUCAGGAUAGCAACAUGUCAACUACAGUUCCCUUUGCUUCAGGUGUCAGCAUUCUGUUAUUCCCUUACUCUGGCAAAAAAUGUGGCUAAACAUUUCGUGUUGCAACCCCCCCAAAACCCAAUGUAUUCAAUACACCAGCUUUAGUCUUAGUUGUAUCUAGUAGGCUUUCUGACCCUGUCCCCCAAAACCAAGACACUGCAAAGCAGCUUUAAGAUUCAUAUUCAAAUAAUGGUGGUGGGGGCUUUUUUGUUUAGUUUUUUUGGGGUUUGGUUUUUGGUUGGUUGGUUUUUUGUUUUUUUUUUUUUUUUGCUACUCUGAAGAUAUUUCUUUGGAACAGAUGCCACACAGAUGUUUUGAGAUUAUUUUUUUUUUCUGCUUGAUAACUGCAAAUAUUUGUGAAUGCAGCUGUUCAUAUAGGUGAGGGACCUAUGCAUGAGACCAAAGUUGCUGACAGAAAAGUUUUUGCAGGAUCAGGUCUAUAUUAUACCCUACCUCUCUCCAAAGCAGCAAGGAAGAAAGUCUCUUCAUGCUUCUGAGAUCAGCAUUCAUUCUCCAGAUUAGUCUAGGUGCUCACAACUAGCCAUGCAUCUUUGUAAUGCAAACUGAUUAAAACAGAAACAUUCUGGAGACCACAGAAUCAUAGAGUCUGAUGAAGGGCUGGGAUUUGUGAGAGAAAGGAUUUUUCAUUUUUAAGUGCAGCCCAUGGAGGGAGAUAUACUGGUCAAGGACAGAACUUUAUCUCCUUUCCUGGUGUUUUUCAAAUGGGUGAGUCUGGUUUUGGCUUUUCUGUUAUUUGGGUUUCGUUUAUUUGUUUACUUUGUCUCCUGUAGCCAGGGAACAGUCACAAGUGUCUGAUUAUCAGAGCUCUGAUUGGAUUCAGGGGUAAGUGUUACAGUCAAUGCUCUCCACUCCUCCUCUUGAGUGUGCUGAGCUCUGUAUUGAUGCAACUGAGUGAAAUACCUCUUGUGUAUCUAUUGGAAUCAGGCCAACACAGUAUCUCUCUGUCAGUACCAUCUUUCCUAUCUUGAUGUGUCUGUGACAAAAUUUUUUUUUUCCUAUGUAGUAUCUUGAUAAUGAGGUUUAUUGACUUUACCUGAUACAGACAUUUUGCACCUAUAGUAAAGAAUUUUGAAGAAAGAAAGUCUUUAUAAGCCCCCAAAAACACUGUCCAGGUAAAGUUUGAUGUGUGACACAUGUAUACAUGUUCUUACUCAUUGUGGUUUUAGAUAACUAUGUUCACAAUUGGUAACAAAAGCAUAGAAAUACCUUGGGAGUAAGAAGGGACUGUUUCUGUUCCUUAAGCUUUGAUAACAUGUUGACAUCCUUAGUGAAACUACAGAAAGGGUCAACAUCCUUUGCUGUCUUUUCCAGUGACAUGUUUUGGAAUAUUUCUCUUUUUAUUCACAUGCCCUCUCUGUUCUCAGAUGAAUACAGUUGUAGCUCUCUCUUGCGGACAGCUCUUUUCUGUUUUGUGCUGUGUCACACAGGUACAGAUUUCUGACAGCUGCAAAACAUACCUCAGAUAAUUCACUGAAUCCUGGUGGUGUGACAAGCAAAACCCUUGAAAAUCCCCACUGCUUUUGUAACAGGAAACCCGUGAUGUUGGGUUCAUAAAGGAUGGCUUUGCAGGACUAUGAGAAAAUCCUCAAUGUGGUUUUGGAGAUUUAAAAAAAAACCCAAAACUCUGCUAUUAUAUUUGUGACAAACAAAGUUUGCAUCACUUUCCAAGUUUAUGACCUUGACAACAUAAAUGCAUACAAAACUUCAUCUCUGGGAUGAUAUCUUUUUGCAUUUUUUUCUUAAACAGUUGUUUUCCCCUGGAGAUAUCCUUGUCCCUUAUGCCAAUCUUUCCUGCUUCUUUUUUGCAACAUGUGGAAACAUUGGCCCCAGCUGUUCUGUCGUUUGGAAAGACGUCAACACAGCUGGUGAUUAUAAGGAGAAAUGUUGUCUAAUGGGCACAAAAGGACGUGAUGGCCACUAGCAGAUUCCUGGUCUGUGGGUAGCACUGCUGCUAACCUGCAGGGAGAGGCCAUGUGCCAGUGUCCUCUCUGGGUCUGCCUAAGAGCACAGCCCUGGCACUGUUGCACUAAUGUCUGCCGCCUUCCCUCAGCUCCAAAAUACGAUCUCUUCCCAGCCUCAGUUGGUCACUUCACUCUUCUAUUCCAUGUGUUUCUGCAGGGGUGAGGUAAAUCUGUUCGUGCUAUGUGGUGUUCAGCAGUCAACUCAAUGGGCUACGUACAAACCUACCAAGAAAGGCAGAUUAUUAUUCUGGAUCCUCUUUAUCAGAGUGAGUGUUGAAAAGGGAAAACAAGGUGUAAGCACAGCCUUUCCUCCAGGUGGGAUCACAGUGAGCACUGAAGUUUCUGACUUGGCACAUUGUUUCCCUUUUCUGGAUUAAUCCCAAAAAUAGAAAAAAGGUUUCUAAUAAGGCUGGUUGUGUUAUCAGAUAUCUUGUGAUUACAGAAGCAUGAGCUGUGGCAUGCACAUCUGUACACACACCCCCCCCCCCCCCCCCAGAAUGGCUCUACUGCAGAGGGAGUUUUUCAUUUUAUUCUUAAAUAAUAAACCUUUUGCAACCACCCCCAUAUUGUCAACACUCAUCAGGGAAGGACACUGGCUAGAUAGAGAGUCAACGACAGAAUCCACAGAAAGAUUGUUUACAUGGUCACACAAAGCAGAAGGGUUGUCUGUUAAGAGUUGGGGCACUGUGUAUGUCCUAUAGAUGGCUCCUGAAUUUGUGCAUUGAGGCCCUGAAAGGUAGGGAUGUUAAUUGUGAUUCUUGUGCACCAAACGAACCCAAGCAUGGAUUCUCUGUUGCUCACCCACAGCUUUCAGGUGGUCAUUACCUUUUUUGCUCUUGAUCUGCACUGACUUGAAGGGGUGGGAUGUGGCUUGCCAAGGAGCCAGCUUCCAGCACGCUCUGGCACUGCAAACAGUUCCUCUUUCUGAGUGUUUUCUGUAAGAGUAACUGAGAUAAUCAAACCUUCAAAACAAAUAGAAGCAAAAAACCAACACUCAAACCGUACCUCAAAAUUUUAGGCACGGCUAUUUCCAACCUCCCUCGGCAAUGCUUAAGUGACCUGGGACUUCUCUGACAGCAGAAGUAGUAGGUGGAAAAAUUUCACAAAAAACCCAACAGCUCUCCUCCCCAAAAAAAAAACCCACAAAAAACAUUGCUAAAAGACAAUUUUUAAAGGUCAGAAUUAUUAUAAGGAAUUAAUUAUCAGACAGAAAAUGCUCAAAUUGCCUUAGAAAAUUUAGACACUGUGUAAGGCCACACGCUGCAAGGGGUGCAGCCACCUGCAAAGAAUUUGGACACUUUAACAGAAAAUAUGCCCUGCUCAGAACAGAGUUAGAAGAACAUAAUGACAAAAAAACAUGACUUCCCUAAAGUAAUUAAGAGAUGAUAGUGAGAGUAAAUAAGCUUUUGGAGAACAUAGUAUUAGUGAACCAAAUGAGAGCAAAUAAACCAUGAGUCAGGUUUUCUUCAAGUGCAGGAAACAGAAGGUAGCUAAAUCUGUUUUUUAGCAGGGGUACUUGAGAUGUUAGCAAAAAGCAGAAGUGUUUUUGCAAAGAGGAGAAAUUACAGAACAGAUUUAAUAUAUUUAUCAAUUCCUGAUCCCAAACAUUGCAAAACCAUCAAAAAUCUUUCCAGUGGCAUCAGUGACAUCUUCACAUGGCCCCUAGAGAGCUCAGGUAGGUUACAUAGAUUUCAGGGACAGGAGAUGCCAUGCAUUUCCAUUUCUAAGAGAAAUGGGAAAAAAAAGAAAUUGUGAAACAUUAUUUUUUGUCUUGCUCUUAAAUUCAAAGUAGAUCAAGGCUGGACAUGUAUUCCUUGCAAUUCAGAAGUUAUUUUACCACUUCUUUUUUGAUAAUGUGAUAUUGGCUAAAGAAAUACUUAGAUACUGAUUUGUGGGAGUUAUCUGCUUAUCUGGUAAUUCUAUGCAUAUUUUAACAAGAUAGUAGCUGUUGGAGGAGAGUGAUAAUCAGAUUCUAAGUUUUCUUCCUUUUUAUGGGACGCUGAAGUGCAGAAUCAAAACUGAAUUUUGAAGAUGUUUAUAUUUAGGGAACUGACUUCAUUCACUGUAGAUAGAGUAUUUCUGAAACUUGGAGUAGCAUUUGUUUUCCAUUUCUAGCCUCUCAGCUUGUGAAAGCACACAAUGCAAGGUAGGUGUGUAGAUGCUUCUGUACUCAACCUACAUAUAAAUAUAUAGACUUUAUAGGCUUUGUAUAUAAUAUACACAUAUGUAAAGACGUGUAUGUUUAUCUAUAUAUGCAUAUAUAAAUAUAUUCUUGUAGUAUUUGCCAAGAAAUGCUUGUAGUAUUGCAACAUUAUCUUAAGCUACCUGUUAAAAGUAGUGCAAACUACGGCUAAUUUGUCUUCUCAUUUGUGUGAAGAAAAUUCUAGUUAAUGUUUUACUAUGAAUUCUGUGAUAGAGUAUAAAAAGAGUUGGAAAGAGGAUACAUCUUCUAAAACAUGGAACAGGGAUUUCGAAUUUAACUCUGUCUAAUAUUUUUCCAUUACGAAUUUCCACUGAAUUGGCUCAAGAGUCUGAGAUAGAAACAGCUGAAGAUUUCUUUUUUUUUCCUUCAUUUUUGAUGGGGAGACAUAGAUUGAGGUUAGAACUCUCCAAAGAUUAUCCACUGAGUGCCAGCUUUUAAUGAAUCCCAUUUGUUUUCUUGAUUAAGUCUGCUAUUACCCCUGUUUAGUCUUGUCACGAGCCUAUUAGCUAGAAUUUUCAUAUCAUGGUUUAGAAGAGAAAUUAGCCUAGAAGAGCAGCACUCAUCAUCAGUCAAUUUUUAGUGUAUUUAGCAUAGUUUACAAUUUAUGAAUUCAGGAACCUGUAGCCUCACACAUACCUAUAUAAAAAAACCCAAACAACUGUUCUUUGUAGUGAAAUUCGUAGGCCACUAAGGGUAGCAGUCAAAUAUCAGUUUGUGGUGAUAACAUUGUAUAUCACUAAUGUACAUACAGUCACAAGGUCUCUUUGGUGAACCUGCAUCUGACAGGCUAUGUCAGGUCUAUGAUUUGUGCAGCAGAAGCUUCUUUAGGAAGAAUUGACUCUCAAAAGGUUUGACCUCUUAUUUUCAAAAGAUAAGCAUCUAGGAGGCUUACCGAGCCUUGUGGUCACAAAGUAUUCAAGAGCUUUGGGAGUGCUUAAAAGCCGUGUGAUGGGUACAGUGAAAAGUACACACAGGUGUAGCAGGGUUUUAGAAAUUCUUGACUUUCUUGAAAAUGUUGUAAGAAUAGCCCUUUGGGAAUUUAAAUAUCUCCAUCCCUUUUCAGAUUCUCUAAAUGAAAAGAGCGGUGUAGGGUGAAAUGUACUUUUUAAAUGACAUUUUGCAAAUUUCAAGAGAUGCCAUUUCAGCAUCUCUUGGAAGUGAAGACUUGGACAGUGGAAUUUGCAGAGCUGCCAUAGAAGUAUUUCAAUGCUGAAAAGAGCCAGAGGGGACUGCAGAUGAAUCAUGGGGUUGUACCUUGGCAUUACUCUGUAAUGGGAAACAUGACUUUACCAUGUACAUGGAAGCAAAGAUUGUAAAUAUUUAAACAUCAUGACGUUACUUAAUAUUACCCAUUCAAUGCCCUCUUUCUCUUUUCUUGUUUUCUUUGUGCCACUCUAAAUGACUAGGCUGGCCUGCUGGCAUUUCCAUUUUUUUCUUCUGCUUUUCUUCUUUUCUGCCUCCUUUUCUAUAAUUUCUGAAACAGUGUGGGGUCUUGAUCACUCUAUUUGCUUAGAGCUCCCACAUCACUUUGUAUUUGAUGAACAGUGCGAGAAGCAUCUAGUAAUCAAAGUGAAAAAAACUCCAAUUAUAUCACUGUUCCACAGGAGCUCCUGAAGAUGCCUGGAAGAAUUUGCUGCAUUUCUGGGCCCAAAAGCUGUUAUGGAGAACACCAGUUGGUAAUCACAGCUUUUUUUUUAUUAUUAUUAUUAUUAUUAUUAUUAUUAUUCUCAUUUUUCUUAGACUAAGUGAAUGAAAAUCCUUUGCUAUAUCCUUACCAGAGCUGGAUUGAGACCCAUUUUAUUACUAACCAAGUCUAAGUUGCUUAAUUUCUUGCCUGGAUGGAAAAGAAACACCAUUACAAAAUUAGUAAAUGACCAUGACUACCUCUCUGGAGAAUUAUCUCCUAAGAAUAAUUCAGAUGCUGUAAGAGAAAUGUACUCUCACAAAAAGCAGCUUUUCCAAACCCCUGUAGUUUCCCUGCACAAUAUUCUUUCUAGCUGCAAGUCUGUCUUCCUUCAGUAAAUGUAUUAUAACCCUUUCAGUCUGUUCUGCUUUACGUACUCGACACCAUGAAUCUCUAACAAGGUUAGGGGUGAGUAACAAUUUAAAUUACUUUCAAAUACAGCUGAAAAGCCUAUUAUAGAUGCAACCUUGAACUUUAAUUGUAUAAAGACAGCCAAUUCCUUAGCAUUCCCACAAGUGAUAGAGUUUCUUGCUUGUAAGUCUGCCGAGACUUUCUGGCUGUGUUGGCAGCUAUUUAUUCUGCCUCUAGAUUUUGAAAAAAGAAACGCAUAAGUUUAAAUACUAUAACAUUACAAUAUCUACUGAAAAUUGUAAUGAUGAAGGUUGUAACAUAUUUGAGUUGGAGAAGUCAAUCUGUUUAAUUAUAUGUUAUUCUUCCUGCUAUUUUACUAGGCUACACAAGAGGUUGCUGAAAUCCAGCAUUUGUUUUCAGAUAUACAUUCAUGCUUUUUAAGGAAAUGAUUGCAAAGAGUAGGAGAACCUUUGAAAUGAUGUUGCUCAAAGAUUCCCCAGCGUUGGCACAAACAAAGCAAAUAAGGGUAAGCUCAAAGGAUCCAUGAAAGGUAAACAAACACUCUCUUUAAAACUGGCUUAUAAUGAGUAAUGGGAAAAUCUGGGAAUGCUUUUGUGAUCUCGUAGUUUCAAACCUCUCUGGUACUUCUGGUUGAAAAAAUCACCACCAAAACAAGGAAAAAACCCAAACAGAAAACACCCCACACCCCAUAAAACACCAAAACCCACCAAAGUCAGUGAAUCUGGCUGGAAAACUUAUGAUCUGAAAGCUCUCUUCACAGGAACAAUAUCUCUGCCAUGGCCAUAGUCCUGGACUUGAUGGGAGGAUCACUUCCAGAGCUGAAAGUUUGUGCUUUGUACUCAAGGAAUUUCCAUUAAACUUUACAAUGAGGGGAGCUGAGGCAAAGGUGUUGAUGUCCUUAUGGAGGUGGAAAUGAGGCUGCUGCUUAUUCAAUGCAAACAGCUUAGAAACACAUCUCAAUCACUGGUAGCAACUAGGGGUCUGCUCAGUCCUGGAGUAGCUGUGUAAAGGACCAAGUGAAGUUUUCUUUGUUUUGUUUUCACCACCAAUGAGCUAUGUUAUCCCAGGGUUGUUAAGCACAGAUAUAAAAAUUUUGCCUUGAAUAUAUGUGAUCAUAUAAUUCACCUCUUGUUUAGAUAAGAAUAUAUUUAGCCGUCUCAAUCAUUUUCAUUAAAUCAAAGAUAAUGUCGUAUGAGUGGGUCUGUAGCUCCAAGAGAGCUACAAGAUGGAAAAGAGAACCCUGUAAUCCUUCCACUGCCUGCCAUGUCACUUGAACCUCUGAGCCACCGAUCCCUCUGUGGGAGCACAUUUGCUCCCCCUUAGUUGAAACUUUUAAAGACCUUUGUAGGCUUUAGUUUGAUACUAACUGUCAAUUUGGGCCAAGAUAUUCUAAUUCAGACUUAUUAUAACACAUAAAGUAACACUUGGAAAAAGAAAAUUGGAUUCAGAGUUGCACUGAAAUUUUGUAGUCCCUAGACAGAGAUUUGAGAUCUCUGUAUUUCCUCUUCAUUCAGAAAACAAGACACAAAUUUAAAAAUGAGGCACAUUUUGGAAGAUUAUUGUCUAAUUUUAGAAUUCAGCUAAUGAAAUGCAGCUAAGUAAAUACAGCACAUGAUAUUAAUUAGUGCUAAGAUGUAUGUCCUCUUUAGGAUACUUAUCAACAACAUUGGUGAGGAGAUGUCGGCAGGAGCACUGUGGUGUUAGCACUGGGAACAUGAUGUAAUGUUGCAUGCACCAAUCCUGAAUAAUAUUGACUUAUGCUAACUCCUAAAUUGGCUCAACCCGUUCCUCUUACCCAAAGCCUUCCCAUCUGGAAAACAGAUUAAUUUUUAAGAAGAAUGUAAGGAGACAGUCCUCAUGCUGUGGGCUUUUGACUGAUUAAACAGUCAUAUGCCAAAUCCCUUUAUGAUGCUACAGAAGGAAGAGAAAUUAAUAAGAAACUUACAAUUAAUAUACUACAUUGAACAUAAACAGUGUAGCUUUUCAGCUACAUAUCAAGCUACUAGAAACUUCUAAAAAUGCAAAGAAACAUUUUACUUCCUUAAAUGUUUUUUCUUUUGAGUGUUGAGCAAUUAUACAUCUUCAGUGGUUAAUUUUGCAAGCAGAAUAUUAAUAAUUCAUAAGUGUGUUAAAGGUAUUGAUCAUACAAGUGUUAGAAGCAUUAUGCUUGAGUUCCUUCUGUAAUCCAUUAAAAAAGGAAGGAAAUUGUUUCAGUUUUGUAUUAAAAUAUGAGACUAACAGGCUGUAGUUUAAAACAUAUGUAAAGCUGUUUUCCUGUUUAAACUUCAGUCAUCCAUUGUUGGUCUGGUGGUAACAUACAAGGAUUUGCUGGGACUCAGUCACAGGAAUUCAAACCAGAGGCUCUUCCUCCUUCUCCCAAUGCCAGCCCCAUGCCCCCCUCCUGCCCUGCCUGCGUGACCAGCCUGUGUGCCCACUCCCCACUCUGGGUAUAGCUCUGCUGAGAUCCUCUGGGAACCUUUGGGGGCUGACUUCAGUAGACAUGGCAGUAGAGCUCGAUUUCUUCUAUUUGUGGCUUCUUUCUGCACUUCGGAUACUACACUUGGAGGCCAACAGGUGCUGUGUAAAUUCUCCUGAGAAAAUGGGGGGAUAUCUGCUGUGGGACCAGAUCUAUAGCUUGUCUUCACUGUUUUUUACCAGCCCUGAUUGUUUUCUCAUGGCUGAGCACAGACACCAUAAACAUUGUAUUUAUGCAAGGUGAGUACUUGCAGCGAAGUCUGUAAGGCUUCUAUGGAUCCAGGAAUCUACCUGCCUGUGACUUUUUGCAGCAUCAGGGACUUAGUGGUUUCUUGACUUUGAAUUGUUCCCCCAAUUUUUCAUGGUUGCAUGAAUAAAGCUUUAAUCCUCAGCUCAGAAUUGUAGGAUGUUUGUGACAGGAACACAGGCAUUGAAACCGAUCACUGCAAUCCCUCUCUCCUAUUCCUGUUCUAAGGCAGAAGGAAGAAUGAUAUAAACCACAGGAAAUAAAUAAUUGGUGAAUAGUUUUAUUAAUCAAAUUCCUUCUGGACCACCAAUCUCAUUAUUUGUUUAUCAGCUAGGCUUCUACUAAAUCUAUUCACAAUUAAAAAAAAAAUUACCAAGUGAACAGUAUUGAACCGAUCCUUAAUUAGGGCAGCUGAAGUGUCUUGUAUAAUUAACUGGACUUUAUUCAUAAUUAUUUCCUGAUAGUUGGAAUUGUUUUCCACAAGUAACGGAGAAAUAGUAAUGGUAACACUAAGAAAUCUUUGAUUUUUCAGAAUAGAAUAAUGGCCAGGCUUACUGUGCUUAAGCUGUGUAAGACCUAUUUGUUCCCACUGAUAGCUAAAAGUAAUCAUGUCAGUUUGGCUGUACACAUAGGGAAGGGAAGUUUUGCAAAAUCAGUAGAAAUAAGUAUGCAUCCAGAUUUUUAAAAUGUGGCUUUUCUAACGUGUGUUUUACGAUGGUCAGUCUGGGGUGACUCCUUGGGCAGCCACACGUGAAUCCUGGCACAUCAGGAGCUUCCUUAACUCCUGUGAGUUUCCUUAACCAGAAACUGAGAGCUUAAAGCUACUGCCUGCCUAUGGCCAUGCUGAGUCCUGUUCAGGGAAAUAACCAAAAUCAGCUAUUGCUGAUACAACUGGGGUGAAAAAGCUGCAACUCGACAAAGAUCUGGAGCUCCUAACCAGCAGAGCCACUGGUGGUGGCCGCAGAGCUGUAGCCCCAUGGAUAGGGCUGGUUCUCCAGGAGGUGUGCCCCACACCAGUGGCCAUGCCAUACACUGCCAUCAGCACCACACACCCAGAGCCAGCAGACGCAGCACUCUCCGUGGAGCUAUAACAGGGAGCACAUGUUGGUUGGUAGCUCUAGAAACCUGCCCUGAUUUCUUAAGUUUAGCAAGAUCUCACUGAUAUAAGUGAUUAUUUGAGAGAGGCUGGGAAAGACAUAAUGCUGGAAACAAGGCUGACAGUUUUUAUUUGCAGUUUAUCUCUACUCCUUUUGUCCUCCCUUUUGAUGCUGGUUUAGGGCACAAAGCUGGAGGAAUGCUGCAGGAGUGCCAUACAUAGCCAUUCUUACUCUGGAGUACACCCAUCCCUCUGAUGGAAAGUUGUAGCAGAUUUCAAUGUAUGGACUCCUUGGAAGGAGGUGUUUGCUACAACACUGCCUCUGAUUUCAAAGAAUGAGUAUCUGCUUUACUCUGGGAAAAUAGUAGUCAUGUUACAACCCAAGGUUGUUUGGAAUUCAUUAUAAAGCUGCAUGAAAGAGCAUGUGGGUUAAACAGCUUCACUGCUAAUUAAUACCUUUACUCCUGACGAAGUAGCUCCUUGCUCCUGGGGUUAGGCAGAAUGUGAGAAGAAAAACAAACAGAAAGUUGUCUGCAGGCUCUUUCAGGACUGAAACAGCAUGUGAGUAUGUGUGAAGUGUAGGGAGACAAGCACCAGCACCAGAUGUAACUCACUGCCACCCAAUAGCAGUCGAGCACCCGACUCACAACAGCACCAAGGCAGUGGGACUGAACUUGUAUGAUGAAAAUAAGACCUCGUUUCUAAAACUCCAAAGUUCAGAAAACCAACAAGGGUUUUCUUUAUGUAGUUUUCUGUGAGAUUUGUUUAAUGUGAGUAGUCAUCCCCCGAGAGAUUUUGGACAGCGCUAUGUUGGGUUCAGGCUAGAAAACGCAGAAUGAAAGUUAUGAGAAUUACGCAUCUGUCUCUACUCUCUCUUCCUGGCAAAGAUUCCUCUAAUCUGCUCAUUUAUAAGGAACCUGGUGAAUUUGGCUCAUUGCUUUUGGAUCUUUGCCAACAGUGCAUCAAAGUCCAUAAGCAGUAGAACCCUUCCAGAGCGUGGAGAGGAGGGUAGAAAGAGAGAGUAAAAAGCAUGGUGUUCUGUGGUUCCCUGGCAAACAUUCCCCUUCACAUCCUGUUCAUGAAUCAACUGAUCCAUUACCUAUGCAUUUUAUGUUACUAACUAAUGUCUAAUUAUUUUUUUCACUGUUGAAUUCCUUGCAGCUCUCUUUAAAGUUUAGUAGGUAAGAAGAUUAAAACAUAAAUACCAUUAAAUAUGCUUUAAAUAUCAGUCCUAUUGAAAUAUUUCCAGGUUCUGUAUCCUCUUAAAAAAUAAUCCCCAUUCAAAACAGAGAGGAAAUGUCAUCUGCAUGAGCAUCUUUUGAGUUUAAGAUUGGAUUAUACAGGGAAUUAUGUAGAGUAGCUGUGGAAAUCUGAUAAUUAAAAAAACUUUGGACUCUUUUAUUUAUGACAUUUUAAACCCCUGUAACAUCUGGGGAAGUUUUCUGUGUUGUACAUGUGCUGUUAACCUCACGUGUAAAAUUUGCUUGUGUAACUUCAUAUGAAUCAGUGGCUGUAGAACCUGAAUUCAGAUUCAGUCAAACUGGAUUUGCUGGGAUUUGAAGGUGAUUCCUGGGCCUAAAGCUGGGGUGUGGGCAGAUCAGGAUGUUGCUCUCAGCCACCUCAUGGGAUGCACUCUGUCUUCAUAGGGCAGCCAGAGGUUAAUGUUAGCUCUUAUGAAAGUCCUCCCACAAUACCUCAAACAGAGAUCCUCAACAUUUCAGAGCCCAUUUAUUAACGAGCACAGUGAGUCUUGUGAGUCCCUCUGAAAAGGGCCAAGUGAAGUCCCAUUCCAGCCAUUCCAGUUCACACAUUUGAGUGUUGCAGAAAAAGGCUUGCAAAGGGUCAGGACAGGAUUUCUUGGCUGCCCCAAGCCUUGUAGCUUGUGUCCAGCACGGAAUGCCAAAGAAUCUGCAGGAUGCUUUCCACAGGUGUGCUACCAGAGCAGGGUAAUAAUGGGGUCCUUGCAUCAGUGUGAUGUGCCAGGGAACAGCGUUCAUUUCCAAGAAGAGCAGACAGGAUUUCUCUCCAAGGUCAGUAGAAAUUCUGCUUUGUGGGGCAGAGAGAGAAACCUUCACACUUUUUGCAUCAAUGCAUACACAGCACAGGCUUUGGCAAAAUGUCACAAGACACAGAGGAGAGUACUGAGAUUGACCCUGGAGCCUGGGUGUAGGCUCACCAUCUAGCCCUUCCCAGCACAGACCAGACCUGGACCACAAAAUGCAUGGUGACUCUUUCUCUGUGGUCACCUCCAUGGCUGAUGUUCAUCGAGGCUUGCUGAGGUGUGACUCCCCGUGCCUUUCCCCUCACAGCAGCUGAGCUGGAAGACGUCUGCUUAUGUAGAAAUGCUCCUGAAAAAUAUUGACCAGAGAAUUUAGCAUAAAUAUGCAAUGAAUCUAUGAGCUAGUGGGAAAUGUUAAAGCAAACAUGUUAAAGACACAGGCUUUCAAAACAGGUCAGGAAAAUUCUUAUUCCAGCAAGAGAGGACAUGCGCCUAUUCUUUCUUCAGCUGGCUAAGCAACAGCGGGAGUGUUUCCUACUAAACAGCCUCAUUAGCAUAAGAAUAACUACAGGGUAAAUUUUCAAGCUCAUUCCAAGUGAAUUCAAAGGGAGGGGGAAAAUAUUCUUUUAAUAUGUGCAACUCAUGCAAACAAUGAUAUGAAACUAAUUCAUUUCAUCAUAUUAUCACCAUAUCAUAUUAACUUAAAAGAAAUAAUAAUGCAACAUGGAAAUGUUUGCAUAUUAGAGAGAACUCUCAUUGUACCCUAUUAGCACCAUAUCGUAUUAGUAUUAGUAUUGCAUUAGGCUAUUAUGCUCCAGUGCUAAAAUGAUGAAAUCCCACUGUGAAAACUGAUAUUGAAUUCUUGUAAUGUUUCGGAACCAUUUUUAGCACUGCAUAUAAAUAAUUCAUGGGAGCAGAUCUAAUGAAUUGAUGAAAACCCCCCAUCCCUUGACAUUGUGAGAGUAUUUAUGAAUGUAAAGUCAUGAACAGCAUUAUUUUUUUUUUUUUUAAACAGAGAUGGGCUGGGACUGAAAUAUCUGGCUUAUCACUAGACCCAGCUUGCCCAUGUCACACAGAGCAUGAGGUUGGGUAGCUACAUUUCUCUGUUAACGUGGCAAAGGUGGUGUCUAAGAAGUGGCCUGUUCCAGGAUCAGAGGUGCACAGGAACUUUUGAAAUGUGCUGUCUCAGGGAACCCUCCAUGAUGUACUGAGACACCUGAGCAGUGAGACCCUGCCCAACACAGGGUCACUACACUAGUACCACUCUGGUCUGCCUGCAUUGGCUUCCUGAGUUGGUAAGAUCUAAGACUAAUGGCUAAUUGCUAAUGAGAAAAUAUGUAUUUAACUUGAAGGCUUUCAUGGAACUAGCCUUUCACUUACCCAGCAUUUGGUGCUAUGGUGUGAUUGUAAUGGUAGUUAUUAACACAGGCUGUGCUGAACUUUGUUUUAUAUAGAGGUAUUACUGGCAAACUGGAUCCCUUGACUCUUUAGGAAAGCAGAGAGCUGUAUGUUGAACUAGUGAGAAUUAACUCAGCCUGUAAGGGCCCCAUGACAAACAGCUGAAGCAGGCGGCAUUGCCCAUCCCUGUGCCUGGGAAAAGAGGGAGAUGUGCUGGCACAGGGAGCAGGUGAACUGUUACUUGAGCUAGUCACUGAUUUACGGUCUAAAUUACCAUCACCUCAUUCCUUUCUUGCUGCUCUCCAGCAUCUUUUGGCUUAUACUGCAGGUCUCUCCUGUCUCUCCUCUGUCAGCCUGCUUUUGUGUCUGUUCCCAUGCAGCACUAGGGACUCUUGAUCCAAACCAUGGUGCUGCACAAGCUAUAGGAGAAAUGGUAACACAGGACCCCUUCACAAAUCAGUUAGCUUCCUUCUCACUGAAACGUAAAUUGAGAGUAGGAGAUGCAGGGAAAGCAAAGUUGGAUUAUUGUUUCCUUUGCCUUCCAAAAGGACAUGAGGAUGCUGGCAUGUGGCAUACCCCGCCCACCAGGCUCAGAGAGAGGAGCCCUUCUGAGCCUGUGUAUGCCAUGUCUUGGAAUUUUAUUGUGCUCUUCAGGCUUGUCCUUUCUUCAUCAGUCUGGGAUGCAUCUGCUAUGCUUGCAGCAGGAAACAUAAAUUAGGUGGGGGGAGUGACUCUGGUUUCAGUGCAAGAGGCAGCGAUGUGGGGGAAGUUUCUCUAAAGGUCAUCAGGAGUCAUGCACUCUCAAUACUUUCCCCUGCUCUGGGAUUUCAAGGAAAAAAAUACAACAGCAAGUUAGGGGAUGGUUUUGGUUUGCAGGAUACAAGGUCAGUAUUAUGACCUUGUCCAGAGCAGAGAAGGAGCUGUAGGGAGUGACAUCCUAGAAACAGCAUUAUGCGGAGCAAGAGUAGGUGAAGAAAUAUGAACUGUAUCUUAUAACUCUUGAAAGACAUGCUAUACAUACGGCUGUUUGCUUUACAAUUGGGCUGAGAAAUGGAUCCAUUCAAGAGAAGUUUGAUAGUAGGGUAGUGGGGGAGUGUUUGUUUUCUCUCUGCUCAUUUUUUUUCCCCAUGCGCUGUUUUAGUUUUCCAUUCUUUCCUCCAGAAAAUACUACUGUGAUCAUUGCAGAGAUGCUGAAAGAGUUUUGCUUAGCUCCUAUUUUUUGUGUUCAAAACUUGAAAAAUUACAAGUGCUUGGAGUUUAUCCCAACCAGUUGAGCUGCUUCUAGUUUUCACUGGUGAUAUUAAAUUACACAUACGUUCCUAGUGAAAAUUAUUUCAGUUCUUCCUGUAGUCAGUAUAUAAAGUGGAUAAAUAACAUGCUAGAGGGCUGCUUUUUUUUUUUUUUAUGCUGUAUUUUUCUGCUAAGUUGAAUUCCAGACUUCACAUUUAUUUGUAAGAUAGGUAAAAGAAGGUAGGUAAAAGAGAAUUUUCCUCUGGAAGCUGGAGAGUUGCAGAGAUGGUUGUAUAUUCACCUAAUUCAUACUAAAAGUAAUGGAUUUUUUUCAUGUUGGUGUAUGAACCACAGUAGCAGCACAUGCCAUCUGUACACCAGCAAAUAAAAAUAUGUGCUUGUUUCAACAGAAUAUUUUUUACACAUAUAUGGAUAAAUAGAUAGAUAGGAAAUGGAUCCUAAGUUAACUAACCAGUCAGUAUUUUUUUUCUGUGCUGCCAAAGUAGUAUUUUAAAUAGAUUCAAGCAGCUUGUUGUGGCUUACGGAAUUUGUUUAUAUGGGUCAAUAUGGUCUAAUUUUUCCUGCGGGAGUUCUUCUCCAAUUAUAAUCAAGAAUCUUUUAGGUGAAUGUGACAAUUCAUGAAUUUUUCCAUAGCUAUAAAUAUCAGAUAUUUAGAAAACACACCUUAAUCUCCAAACAUUUACUGCUAUAACUACCACCAAAUGUUGUGGUAAGCUGGGAACAACUGUUGCUAGUGAAGAAUGCCAUAUUUUAUUGGAAAAGUGAGUCAGAACGUGGCAGAGAUGCUCCCUGUGCCCUGGGAGGACCUUGGAAGAGAUGAGAUGAGGAAAUGUAAAUCUGUGCUUUUACACACACAGGAGAGGGACAGGGUUGUGCUCAGUGCUGGCAGUUCCUGGGCUUGGUGAACAAACAACCCCCAGGGAUGGAGCCCAGGAGGUGGUUUGCAGUCGCUGUCACUAGGGCUUACUCUGAGCACUGCAGAGGCUACACCCCCAGUUGCUCUCCCACCUGUCCUUGAUGGUGGCAGCUACCAGGCUGCAAAGGGGUGAGCUCCAAUUCUGGAAAAAUGUGAUGUCCUCUGCCUACGAGGUAAGCUGCCUCUUGUGAGCUGUUUGCCAGUCAGCAGUUAUGGCGUAUCCUAAAUUUAAGAAAUGCUUUUUACAUUAGUAAAUAAAAAUUGCCAUAUGUUUUAUUAAAAUUCUGGAUGUUGCAGUGAGAUAUCUAAUAGGAAAUACUAUUGCAGAUUGAACUGUUUCAGUGCUGGAAUUAUUUUUGACAUUCAUGAACAGCUCUUUCAGUGGCAUAUUAGAUUUCCCACAGAGAGACUGGUAUUCGAGCAGCCUACUGUUUUCUGGGCACCAGUGUUCAUGUCUAUUUGCCACUCUAAAAACCUUCUUUAAUCAUGAGUUUGGAGCUUAGAUUUUGUGUCUGCUCCUUGUGAAUGAAUAAGACUGGUGCGAUUCUGCUUUUGCACUUCCUUGGAUUUGGCUGCUGUGGGGAUGGUAAUGGUUGCCGUGUUAAGUUAGCAGCUCCAAGAUGUGUUUGCUAUUUCAGUAUCACCACAGCUCUAUGCUUCCCAUCAUCCCCCAUAAAUGAGGACUGCAGAACUCCUCCCUGCUGCUGCAAGUUUUGGUCCCAAUGCAGGUGAGGGAUACACAUCUGCAUGGCACAUUGCAGUAGGGUAUCAAGAAUAGCCCAGUGAGGCUCUGAAAGAGCCAUCAGAUUUACAGAUUCCCCUGCUUUUUGGGUAGCCUGAAUCUCUGUACAUUUCCCUGAAGUGCAGACGCACUCCAGUGAUAACUGUGUUGUAUUGCUCUAGGAAAAAUUCUUCUUGUGUGUGCUGUACUCCUUCAUCUUGCCAGGAAUCACUGAGAGACCAGGGCAGGGGGCAGUGUCCCAGACUGUUCCCCUGGAUAUCUGUCCAACCUUUUUUCUUCCUUAUCUCUGAUACGUCUCUCCCAUACAUCUCCUAUAGUCUUUGUUUCCCUGCUCAUUCAUGUUUCUGAUGCCAAAAAUCUAAAGCCGGACCCCCAGUAGUAUUGACCUCCUUGUGCCUGUCUCUGUUUCUAAAUAGCAGGGGGGAGAAUUUCUAUCAGAAUCAGAAAGUAUACAGGUUGAAGAUGUCUGUAGCUGUGUGUGAGCUGGAUUGAAAACAGCUCAGCUCCUUAAAAAUUCAGUUGGGUUUAUCAUGGUGAACAGAGCAAACUUGUCUUGUUUUCCAGAGCAUCUCUCAAACAAGUGUGCACUCAGCCAUGAAGACAGGCCUCAAUCUGCACUCUCAAGCUGGGCCUGUGAGCUGAGGUCCCCAGGAGCUGGGGAAGCCUGAAUCCAGUGUGGCAUUGGUGCUUCUGUCUGUCUGUCCAAGGUGCAGCAGGAGGGAGGUGGUGUAGCAAUGAGGUGGGAGACAACCUCUCUUCUCAGCACCUGGCAGGACCGUGGCGGUGAGCCCCGCCACCACGCACAGACAAAUGUAAAAGUGCCAUCGCUGUGUUCUGAGGGGUAAAAACAAUGAGUCUGCACAAGCUGCCUUUGGUUUUCGGGAAACAAAAGGCAUGGUUUUAAGAGGCUCCGGGAAUCUGAGCAGUUCUUCAGAGCAUUUGCUUUAAAAGAGGAGGAGUCAUCAGCAUCAUCUGUUUUUUGUUUUAAGUUUUACAAGUGCUUAUCUGAAGAAAUGCUAAAUGAGCUAUGCCAUGUCAAUGCUGGAAAGAUUUCAUUACAUGGAAGAAUUUUAAGUGCUCAUUUACUGCACAUGAAAAUGAAAAAUUUCUCAGAACAGUGACUCUCUUCAGCAUCUUUGUUAUUUGAAAGAAACACCAAGAGUGGUGCUGUGAUAGGGACAAGCAUAAAUUUGUCAACUGGUGGUGAAUGUCAAGGCUAUCCUGGGGAAGGGUAAGGAGAAGGGUGGCAAUGUAUUGGGUACAAGAAAUGCUAGGAAGUGCUGUUUGUGAGGGCGGAAGCAGAAAUGCCCUUUAUCUGUGGCAUGUAUUAUGGGUUUCUCUUCCUUUAGGCGAGCAACAGUAAUGGAAGUGAUUGCGAGGGGACAAAAUUGUGCAUGUGAAAUGGGUCUUAGGCAGGUGUUGAGGUGAAUCUGAAAACAGAGUCGAUAAGCUGAAAGGUUAGACUUUUAGAGGGAUGGUAUGAUUAUGUUGGUGCCCAGUUCAUUAAAAGAGCAAGGAGGGAGCUGCAUCCAUGGAUCAGUGUGUGUAUGGGUGGACUCCGUAUUACUGCUGGAUUUACAUUCAGUUGGGCCUGGACAGAAUUUUCUGGCUCUGUGGAAGGAGGCUGAUAUGUGGAAAGAAAGCAAUGGCUUGGGAAAGCAGACCCAAAAUUGUCAUUGGGAGCAUAGCCCAAAUCAUGGCCUGGCCCUGCUUUUGGUGAAUUCUCAGGAAAGGCUUACGCUGUUUUGAGAGCAGGACUCACCUGGUAACGCAGAGGGACAGCCCAAGCCAUAGCAGGAUCCUGGCAAGCCGAAGAUGCUCUACACCUUCUCCAGCACAAGCCUCUGCCAAGUAACACAGCAAAGCCAAUGGUAGUACACCUAUGGAUUUCAUAUGGAUUUCAUGCAGCUUUAACAGGCUUCUGCACAGAGGAAACAUUUUGCAUUUGGCAGAACAAUAGCUGAAUUGCUCAAAGUCCAAUUACAAUCAAAUCUUGCUAAUUUGUGCCCAUAACUGGAGAUUCAGUGAGAAUGACAAAACUUCUGCAAUUUACGGAGUAAGUGGUACACACCCUUUAAGAAGUGUGGCUAAUGCAUUACAGAAUUCAUUAUCACCUUACAAACUUCUUCACACUCUGGAAAAGAAUGAAUGCUCUUAAUUAAUUUAUUUUGACAAGGUUUGUUUCUUAAACAUCUUUUGUUAUAGCUGACAAGUUUGUACUGUUAAAAAAAAGAAGUAAUGAAUUGUAACGAAGGAGACAUUAUAAUAGACCUUUUUAGCAAGCCUGUGCCAUUUUUUCGGCUACAGCUUGUGGCAGGCAUGGAUAGAAGUGAUCAUGUGGCACUUCACCCUGCUCACAAAAGCUGCUGAGGUAGCUGGUGCCUGGGAAGUCCUUUCUGCAAAACAGCAAUAGCAGUGACUCCAUUUGUCUUUCUACUGGGGAACUGCUGCUUUAAAAAAAACCAAAAAACCCCACACCAACAGACAACAAAGUAGACAAACAAAAUAGCUCUCAUUUGGCAUAAUAUCUUUGGGAGGAAAAAGAGUAAGUUAAAAAGGGAUCAUUUCUAUAAUGAGGAGGGUAUCUCUGCCGCUCUGAGAAUGUGCACAUGGAAGAAGUUAUGUUACUACUCUUAAAAUCCUAACGUUUUGUUCACUGCUAACGUAUCUCAUUGAAUAAGAAAUAGAGUUUGGAGGAAAAUAGAUCAAAUUUGCAGGUCAGAGGCUCUGCAAAAAUGGGAUUUGAACCUAAGCGCAGCAACCUUGAGGCAAGGCUGCCCUUCCUUGAAUGCCAGAUGUGCAGUGAGGGUAAUUACCAUGGCCCGCGCCAGUGCUCUGAUUCGGGUGGUGAGUGAGGCAAAGGUCAGCUCCUGGCAUGAAUCUUCAUGCGGAUACCUGGGCUGCCCCGGGCUGCAGACUGGCGUCUGUCUUUCUUGCCAGCAGCACUGUGGUCUCAGGUACCUGUAUCUGCCUGUGUACUGCUUGUAAAUCUAUAAUUAAUUACCGUAGGUUAAACAGACUGAGGAAAUAACCAGAGCCUUUUUGAGGAAAUGUAAUUGUCAAUAUAGCAAGACCCCUGAAUUACAGAUUCAGCAAUGAUUGCUAUUACAGAGAUGGCAUUAGAUGAGUAUCAUUUUGUCAAUUAACCUUUUACAAUUCAUAGUUUAUUAUAGCCUAGAACAAUCCAUUUUUAAAUACUUUUUUUUUAAACAUGACUCUUGCUGCUUUAAACACUUACUACCUGCUCUUUAGCCUUUGAACAUAGACUGCUAUACUUGCUCAGCAUAAUGUAUAACCCUAGGUCACAAAGCUAAAGCAAACCCUUUUAAUUUAUGGAGGAUUUCAUUUUAGGAGAAUAUUUUUAAGAAUUUCCUAACCUUCUGAUGGCACAUCAGGCUGGCCAAGGAUACAAAUGUAUCUGUGUUCCUCGGUCCAAACACUUUACCCUACUAUAAUUUAAGCUUUUAAUUUCAUAACCUACAGUGCCAUGGCUACUUAGCAAAAGAAAAAAGCAUUCUUAGUCUAGACUGUGUGUGUAAUAGAGAAUUCUGCUACAGCUGAUAAAAUGACAAUGACAAAGUAAUUAUCAUAAAAAUUAUUCUUUUCUAAAAAUACUCUACUUUUAAAAUAAAAUUUCUAUUGUAGGAAAGGGAACAGACAGUAGUUUUGAUGAAAAACACUUGAACAAAUGGUGAUAUGGUUUCUUUGCUACAUAAAUACAAUUAUUUUUCUGAUAGAAAUAGUGCUGCUGUAGCUGCAAUGGUAAAAGGAUAGGAGAGAGGAAAGGUUUGCAGAGAGAGGUAAUAUUUUUUAUUAGAACAAUUGAUAUAGUUGAAAAAAAAAGCAGAAACGCUUUCAGAGAGCUUGUGUGUCUGAGAGCUUGUCUGUUUUUUUUUCUUCCCCAGCUAUAUCAGCUGGUCUAAUAAAAGAUAUUCUCUCUGCCUGCAAACCUUGCUGGUUUUGUAUAUUGCUGUUUCUGUGCAUGUGAUUUGUCCACUCAGAGGACAAAGAAUUCUACAAUUCUUAAAACUGGUAUAAUUCAGUAAAAAUGGAUUAUGAAAUACUAAAAAAAUUAAAAUGCUUCCUUCAAAUGCUGAGAACUUGGGAUUGGCUUUGUGUUUGAAAGAGAAUAAUUGCAACCCAUGAAGGAACUACACACAUACGAUAAAAUGUGGUCAACUCUUCCUUUCAGCAGCUUUGAAGCAGCAGUAAUCUAACAAAGCACCUUGCUCUUGCUGUGCUGACAAUGAGUCCAGUGUACAAAAAAAAGAAAUUAAACAAAAAAAGACAUUUUAAUUUCAAGGUUCACUGGAAAAAACAUGAAAAAAAAAAAAUCAAUGUUUGCCAAAGAGAAAGACAAACUCUGAAGGGAAAUGAAAAAAUGUAUUUACAAGAUUCAAAGAGAACUUUAUAAAUAAUGGGACAAUAAAAAAAAAGGAAAUAAAAUAUUUGUUCCUCUUAACUCUAAAUAUGCAGGUAAUAUUCUCAAUAAAUCUAGCACACAAAAUGGAUUUAAGGAAUCAUCCAAUUAUAUUGUUAUAAAGAAAUUAUUAUGAAAAGCAAAAUAACCUUCAAAUCAAAGGAGUGUUUGGAGCAGUUACAUCUCCACUGCAUGGCUGUAUCACCUCAGGUCUUGAAGGAGGCUUGGAAACGUCCUCAGGUUGCCCUCAGGACAGGCAGGGCUCCUGCACAGCUCCAUGCCCCGGUUGCAGUGGCCCUGGACUCAUGGAGCAUGUGUGCACAGGUAGGUGCUUCUGACUUUAGGACAUGCUCAAGCCAUUCUGCUUGGGGCUCCCAGGGCUUGUGCUGUGCCCUUGGCCACGUCUGAGCUCUGUGGUACCUCAAGUCUGGCUGUGGGGGCUGCAGCCACCCCCGUUGCAGCAAGAAUGAGGUCCUCCACAGUGGGCAGCCCCAUGCAUGCUCACCCACCUGCCCCCGGGUCCUGGCGUGGUGCCUGUGCACACCCAGCCAUGGCACAGAGUGCUGCCUGAUGGGUGCCUGCCCAGGGCAGGCUGUGCUGUCAGGCCGGGCUGGCUGCCACUGCACAGCUACUGUACACGGAGCCUGUAGAGAGAGCUACAGCUUCAGCUAUGCAGCAGCACAGCCCCACUGCUCCUCGGCUUCCAACUAACAACAGCUGGUAGAACUGAACAUUUUAGCAUUUAAUGUUUUAUCUAAAUUAACGCCCUUGUUGCCAUUGCGUGUUCCUGGAGCUGGGAUGAGAGUGGUGAGAGGGCUGCAGCCGAUGGAGAGGAGCAGAGGUGGGGCAGCAGCAUCUCCUCACCACUCUAGAUGGAGGCAUUUGUGGCUGGCUGUGAAACACCUGCAUCCCUGAUGCUGUACUGUGCCCCAACAAUGCCUGUGAACACAGGCCAGGCCUGCAUGCUACACAGGACUGACUAAUUAACUGCAAAUGGGUUUUGAUUAGAUCCCCCCAACAUAUGGCCUUCUCCAGUGGGUAAUUCAGGAAUGAGUAGGGUCAGCCUUGGGACUGUGGCAAGGGGCAUCAGGGUAACACCUUCCCUGCCUGCACCUCCCAAGGCUGCUUUCCUCUGAGAUUAAAUUGAUUUUCCACAAGCACUAGCAACCAGGAUCAGACCCGAUCUCUAUACCAGGUCUGUAAUGUCUUUCUCCCUAUUAGUUUUCUGAUACUCAGCUAUCAGAGCUCUCAGUAAGAAUGUUUGUGUCUUAUAUAUACUUUGUCUGAUAUACAAAAUAUUUUAUAAACUUUAUCCAUUUAAUUCUCC
Molecule: long non-coding RNA, 27671 nt
Organism: Pseudopipra pipra
Lineage: Eukaryota; Metazoa; Chordata; Aves; Passeriformes; Pipridae
Exons: 6
Source: RefSeq, a predicted model, not a curated record